UACGAAGGGGGCUAGCGUUGUUCGGAUUUACUGGGCGUAAAGCGCACGUAGGCGGAUCGUUAAGUCGGGGGUGAAAUCCUGGAGCUCAACUCCAGAACUGCCUUCGAUACUGGCGAUCUUGAGUCCGGAAGAGGUGAGUGGAACUCCGAGUGUAGAGGUGAAAUUCGUAGAUAUUCGGAAGAACACCAGUGGCGAAGGCGGCUCACUGGCCCGGUACUGACGCUGAGAUACGAAAGCGUGGGGAGCAAACAGG
RNAcentral lists this ribosomal RNA (253 nucleotides) under uncultured bacterium. RNAcentral's name for it is "partial 16S ribosomal RNA". It matches the Rfam family "Bacterial small subunit ribosomal RNA", at positions 524 to 776 of the family's 1533-position model. The record is from RNAcentral.